Molecule: ribosomal RNA, 497 nt
Filed under: uncultured bacterium
Lineage: Bacteria
Description: partial 16S ribosomal RNA
Rfam family: Bacterial small subunit ribosomal RNA
Source: RNAcentral
GAUGAACGCUGGCGGCGUGCCUAAUACAUGCAAGUCGAGCGAACGGACGCGAAGCUUGCUUUUCUGAUGUUAGCGGCGGACGGGUGAGUAACACGUGGAUAACCUACCUAUAUGUCUGGGAUCACUUCGGGAAACCGGAGCUAAUACCGGAUAAUAUUUUGAACCGCAUGGUUCAUAAGUGAAUGACGGUCUUGCUGUCUCUUAUAGAUGGAUCCGCGCUGCAUUAGCUAGUUGUUAAGGUAACGGCUUACCAAGGCAACGAUGCAUAGCCGACCUGAGAGGGUGAUCGGACACACUGGAAGUGAGACACGGACCAGACGACUACGGGAGGGAGCAGAAGGGAAUCUGCCGCAAUGGGCGAAAACCUGACGGAGCAACGCCGAGUGAGAGAUGAAAGUGUUCGGAGCGUAAAACUCUGUUAUGAGGGAAGAACAUAUGUGUAAGUAACUGUACAGAUCGUGACGGUACCGAAUAAGAAAGCAACGGCUAACUACGUG